RNAcentral lists this transfer RNA (85 nucleotides) under Felis catus (domestic cat). It matches the Rfam family "tRNA". From Rfam's summary of the family: Transfer RNA (tRNA) molecules are approximately 80 nucleotides in length. Their secondary structure includes four short double-helical elements and three loops (D, anti-codon, and T loops). The record is from Rfam by way of RNAcentral. Lineage: Eukaryota; Metazoa; Chordata; Mammalia; Carnivora; Felidae. RNAcentral also lists the same sequence under 4 other names.
GCCUGGGUGGCUCAGUCGGUUGAGCGUCCGACUUCGGCUCAGGUCACGAUCUCGCGGUCCGUGAGUUCGAGCCCCACAUCGGGCU